GAUAGGCUAAUUAAGGGCGUAUGGGGAAUGCCUAGGCUCUCAGAGGCGAUGAAGGACGUGAUGAGCUGCGAAAAGCUGCGGGGAUCAGCACAUAUGAUUUGAUCCGCAGAUAUCCGAAUGGGGCAACCCACUAUAUUGAAGAUAUAGUACCUAUUUAUAGGAGCAAACCCGGGGAACUGAAACAUCUAA
Molecule: ribosomal RNA, 189 nt
Filed under: uncultured Flavobacteriaceae bacterium
Lineage: Bacteria; Pseudomonadati; Bacteroidota; Flavobacteriia; Flavobacteriales; Flavobacteriaceae
Description: partial 23S ribosomal RNA
Rfam family: Bacterial large subunit ribosomal RNA
Source: RNAcentral